AUUAAUUUACAAGUAAUUAACAUGCUCUAAAACAUUUUAUAAUUCACUUCAAUAACGUGUAUAGAUAACACAAAAAUUAACUCUGGCCUACCUUAGGCUACAUGAUCACAGACAAGCUGAUGUAAUUAAAAUGAGAAGAUUUAUUUCCUGGUACUUUCAUGGCUUUAUUUUUACAUUAAAGUCUUUCAUGACGUAUUAUUUAUUGCUAUCUUCCACCAAAUGCUUGGCCAGUCAAUCCCAGGGUGAUCUUAAUAAUGACAGCUAACACAUGUAAACCAUAAAUAUUUAUGAAAAUUAUAUAUCCUCAUAUAAAUUUCAUAAUAACAUGUGUAAGUUACAAAAGAGAAAAAGUCAACGAGGAUAUGGGGGAAGCCAAAAGGAAUACAAACAAACGAACCGAACUAUGUACAAAUUAUGCAGAUCACAUAAUUUGCAGGAGGAGGUGGAAAGAAAGAAAAGAACUCAUCUAGGCAACUUUUGAAACCAGUACUUAGAUGCUACAGAUCAAACACAAAAACAACAGUACACGAUUAAGGAAGUAAGGUGCCUCCACAGUGAGUGCGCCUCCCGGGGGCACAGGUUGAGCAGUUCACCUACAGCACUGACAUGGCCUAAGCGAAUGUCGUGUCAAUCUGAGAGCCAGGUUUCUCCCUGUCACAGGAAGAAACUACACAUAAGGAAAGGGGCAGAAGCAACAAGCACAGCCAGUGCCCAGGUCUUGGUUGCUAAAUCCCAGUCUCCAAUGAGGGAGCGCUCCCUGGAGAAGCAGCUGGGUGCAGAGCUG
This 784-nucleotide long non-coding RNA is filed under the name Pongo abelii (Sumatran orangutan). RNAcentral's name for it is "lincRNA". The record is from RNAcentral. Lineage: Eukaryota; Metazoa; Chordata; Mammalia; Primates; Hominidae.